AAAAACCUUUAACUCUGCCUCUCCCAUUUCUUGCUUUCGCAGAUUCACGUUUGAAUUCAAAAUGGUGCAUUCUAAGUUUGAGUUAAUAACAAAAUCUUGUCAGUGUCUCGUCAGUGUCAGUUCAGAAGAUAGCUCCAUGCAGAACAAGAAUUCUCUGGUACUGGUCUCUUAGCCUGUAAGGCUUGUGCAUGAUGUAUAUGAGAGCGAUUUCCAGCAGAGAGAAGCUUAUCACAGAUCCACCUAAAAGGUAAGUCUAUUUUUUCAGUUUUUAGUUCACAUGCAGAACAGCUGCCUGUAGAACAGCUGCCCGCAGAACAGGAAAGAAAUUUGGUUUAGGGAUUGAUUAUACAUGUCUUACCCAUACAGUAAGUCAGAAAUAAGCAUGAUGAACUUCAGAUAAACCCAGAAUGUAUAAAUGGCAAGAACAGCAAUACUAGAAUAUUUACCUCCUAAUUUUGUGCUACACUACAUUUUUAGUGCAUUUUUUUCUUCCUAAGUUGUUCAGGGCAAAGGAGAAGAGCUUGAGUAAAGUCCAGGUUUUUUAGUCUCUCCCAGAUCUGUAGUAUUCAUAUCCAUGAUUUGGGCAAGAUAAUUUACUGAAUUACAAAUCUGACAGGCAAUGCAUGCAAAAGAAUGAAUCAGUACUAUCAGCAUUCCUCGUGUUUGCUAAGGAAAACAAGGUUAACAAAUGCUAAUGAAUUUUAAGAAAAAAACAAAAGCAGAAGGAAAUGAUGAAGAAUUAAGAAAGGCAAGGAAAAAGAAGAGAGGAG
This 770-nucleotide long non-coding RNA is filed under the name Struthio camelus australis. RNAcentral's name for it is "lncRNA (ENSSCUG00000014433.1)". The record is from RNAcentral. Lineage: Eukaryota; Metazoa; Chordata; Aves; Struthioniformes; Struthionidae.